GAAGGUACCUGAGGAAUAAGCAUCGGCUAACUCCGUGCCAGCAGCCGCGGUAAUACGGAGGAUGCAAGCGUUAUCCGGAAUGAUUGGGCGUAAAGCGUCCGCAGGUGGCACUGUAAGUCUGCUGUUAAAGAGCAAGGCUCAACCUUGUAAAGGCAGUGGAAACUACAGAGCUAGAGUACGUUCGGGGCAGAGGGAAUUCCUGGUGUAGCGGUGAAAUGCGUAGAGAUCAGGAAGAACACCGGUGGCGAAAGCGCUCUGCUAGGCCGUAACUGACACUGAGGGACGAAAGCUAGGGGAGCGAAUGGGAU
RNAcentral lists this ribosomal RNA (308 nucleotides) under Trichormus variabilis NIVA-CYA 19. RNAcentral describes it as "bacterial SSU rRNA". It matches the Rfam family "Bacterial small subunit ribosomal RNA", at positions 471 to 778 of the family's 1533-position model. Lineage: Bacteria; Bacillati; Cyanobacteriota; Cyanophyceae; Nostocales; Nostocaceae. The record is from RNAcentral.